Molecule: ribosomal RNA, 494 nt
Filed under: uncultured bacterium
Lineage: Bacteria
Description: partial 16S ribosomal RNA
Rfam family: Bacterial small subunit ribosomal RNA
Source: RNAcentral
GACGAACGCUGGCGGCGCGCUUAACACAUGCAAGUCGAACGGAAAGGCCUGCUUUCCCUUGUGGAUUGCGGGUACUCGAGUGGCGAACGGGUGAGUAACACGUGAGUGAUCUGCCCCCAACUUGGGUAUAAGCCUGGGAAACUGGGUCUAAUUCCCGAUAGGACUGCAGGGUGGUGCCUGUGGUGGAAAACGAUUUUCUAGUGGUUGGGGAUGAGCCCGCGGCCUAUCAGCUUGUUGGUGGGGUAAUGGCCUACCAAGGCGGCGACGGGUAGCCGGCCUGAGAGGGUGGACGGCCACAUUGGGACUGCGAUACGGCCCAGACUCCUACGGGAGGCAGCAGUGGGGAAUAUUGCACAAUGGGCGGAAGCCUGAUGCAGCGACGCCGCGUGGGGGAUGACGGCCUUCGGGUUGUAAACUCCUUUCGACCGCGAGGAAGCCACCUGGUUGGAAGGGUGGUGACGGUAGUGGUAGAAGAAGCACCGGCUAACUACGUG